GCCGUGGGGGGCGUUUAGGCGUUUGGGAUAUCGACGGCUUGGAAAAUUUACUCAGCCCUACAAGAAGUUGACAGGCCAGCACGGAGUUCAUUGAGCCGGAGACCGAUGAGCUUUCUGUUUGCUUUUUCUUCAACUCUUCCCCUGUUGCUGUCCGUUUCAGCUGGUGGAUGAUUCCAAAUGAUAUCUUUUGUUCCAAGAGUCAGAAUUCUGUGUCCUGAGUCGAAGACCCGUAGUGGGAGUUACCAAGGCCGAGCAGAGGAUAAUGAGGUAGGUUAGGUAGACAGACCCUCUCGGAAACGCUUGUUCCAAUGGGAUCGCGCUGCAUCGUCACCAGCUUCACCGGCCGGUCAUCUUUCAAAUGACGGCAGUUGGGGUAAUUUGUAAUAUAUUCGACUAGGGAUCUUUGGUUGAUAAUUGCCGGGCUUGAGCGCAGAGGGGGUUUUUUUCCAUUGUUAUUUUAUUAUUUUAUUAUUUUUUUUCUCAUGUUUGCUGACGACGAUAUUCGGUGCACCACCAAAGCCGGAUUGCCGAAUUCCCCCGUAACGUCACCCCCAUGACAACAUUGUUGUAUACACGUCGCAGAGCCAUAGUUUUUGUAUUUCCUCGUCCCCCUGCUGGCCUUCGCCGAAUUCAGACUCCCAUUCCUGUAUACUUGAUUAGAACACGGUA
Molecule: small RNA, 669 nt
Filed under: Histoplasma ohiense
Lineage: Eukaryota; Fungi; Ascomycota; Eurotiomycetes; Onygenales; Ajellomycetaceae
Description: hypothetical lncRNA
Source: RNAcentral